UGGAAGCCAAAGUAGGUUGUCAGAUCUGAA
This 30-nucleotide non-coding RNA is filed under the name Rattus norvegicus (Norway rat). The record is from RNAcentral. Lineage: Eukaryota; Metazoa; Chordata; Mammalia; Rodentia; Muridae.